Oryctolagus cuniculus (rabbit) is the source of this 1546-nucleotide non-coding RNA. The record is from RefSeq and is a predicted model, not a curated record. Lineage: Eukaryota; Metazoa; Chordata; Mammalia; Lagomorpha; Leporidae.
CACCCGGGAGGGGCCAUCCCGAAGUCGGGCAGCCAGACAGCGUCCGGGCAGGGAUUCCGGCUCUGGUCUCUGUCACCUCCGGGCGGCCUCACCACCUUUAGUGCCAGGGAUUAAAACGUCUCUUCCUCAGCCAGGGUCCUGCACACGCCCACUGCCCGUUAACCUGCCAGCGUCUUUAGCCCCGGAAGCCGACUGGGUGAGAGAACAGAGAGAGGCGUGCUCCCCAUUGGCCGAGCCAGCCCGUGUUCUGUCUCUGAGGAGCCGCAGGGUUCUCCCUGGAGGAGGCGGCUGCGUAUAGAGACACAGAGACGAGGAAGGCGCGGGCGUGCGCUCGCGGGAGGAAAACCACGCGCCCCUGUGGAAGGCAGAAAGACCCUCAGUCCUGCAACAGCAGAAGCCGACAGCGGCUCCCUUCCAGCCUGGCCCACGCCGCGCUAGCUACGGCCUCCAUCCAGCAGCCUGUGCGUGGGGACACAGGUACCCACAUCAGGGGCCUGCCGUGGGCCCUGCGAGGAACACCCGGGAAGAACUCAGGGCAGAUCCACACGGGGAGCACGAGCGUGGUCACAUCAGUGUCUACCAGCGAGCACAAGCGCCAAGCACCGCCCUGGACGGUUUCCAAAGCAAGGACUGAGUCUCCCGCUGUAGAGCAACUAGGAGACGGGACAGACAGGGCGGUGAUAAAGGACACAGAGGCGACACAGGACAGGUGACACAGGACACAGCAGUGACACAGCAGUGACACAGGACAGGUGACACAGGACACAGCAGUGACACAGAAGUGACACAGGACACGGAGGUGACACAGGACAUGGAGGUGAUACAGGACACGGCAGUGACACAGGACACAGAGGUGACACAGGACAGAGGUGACAUAGGACAUGGUGAUGACACAGGGCACAGAGGUGACACAGGACAUGGAGGUGACACAGACACGGAGGUGACACACAGAGGUGACACAGGACAUGGCAGUGAUGAAGGACAAAGGAGGUGAGACAGGACAUGGUGAUGACACAGGACAUGGAGGUAACACAGGACAUGGUGAUGAUAUAGGACAUGGAGGUGGCACAGGACUUGGAGGUGACAGGACACAGAGGUGACACAGGACAUGGAGGUGACACAGCACUCAGGACACAGCGGCGACACUCAGGCCCUGGGCAACAGGCAGUGCAGGACUGUGGUCCUGGAGCAUGGGCACCACCAGGGACAGCACGAAGCCUGCCCUGCAGUCACCCUGAGCAGGGAAAGGGGGCGGCAGCAGCGUUAGCUGAGCACUUACUGUGUGCCUGGCAUAGGCCGAGCACUUCAUACAGGUUAUCUGCCGUAUCUUCAUUAUAUAAAAGGAAUCUUAAGAGGCCUAUAACCUGUGGCCAAUGCAACUCUGAGCCCAUGCUGGUGACCACCGGGCCACACCCACUGCCCACACAGGCCUGGAUCUCGCUCUCUCCAUGUGCAGUCCCUAGCCGGGGGUCCAGGGGUGGUCCUGAUCCCCAGGGGGCAGCACUGCAGGACAACGGGUGGUCCCGGUCCAGCCCAGAGCAGCACA